RNAcentral lists this ribosomal RNA (253 nucleotides) under uncultured bacterium. RNAcentral's name for it is "partial 16S ribosomal RNA". It matches the Rfam family "Bacterial small subunit ribosomal RNA", at positions 524 to 776 of the family's 1533-position model. The record is from RNAcentral.
UACAGAGGGUGCAAGCGUUAUUCGGAAUCACUGGGCGUAAAGAGUUCGUAGGCGGAAUGUUAAGUCUGAUGUGAAAGCCCACGGCUCAACCGUGGAGGGUCAUUGGAAACUGGGGGACUUGAGUGCAGGAGAGAAGAGUGGAAUUCCACGUGUAGCGGUGAAAUGCGUAGAGAUGUGGAGGAACACCAGUGGCGAAGGCGACACGCUGGGCCGUACCUGACACUGAUGCGCGACAGCAUGGGGAGCAAACAGG